UACGGAGGGUGCAAGCGUUGUUCGGAAUUACUGGGCGUAAAGCGCGUGUAGGCGGCCAGAUGGGUCGGAUGUGAAAUCCCUCGGCUUAACCGAGGAAGUGCGUCCGAAACUAUUUGGCUCGAGUACGGGAGAGGAGGAUGGAAUUCCCAGUGUAGAGGUGAAAUUCGUAGAUAUUGGGAGGAACAUCGGUGGCGAAAGCGGUUCUCUAGACCGUUACUGACGCUGAGACGCGAAAGCGUGGGGAUCAAACAGG
RNAcentral lists this ribosomal RNA (253 nucleotides) under uncultured bacterium. Its description in RNAcentral is "partial 16S ribosomal RNA". It matches the Rfam family "Bacterial small subunit ribosomal RNA", at positions 524 to 776 of the family's 1533-position model. The record is from RNAcentral.